This is a long non-coding RNA of Amblyraja radiata (thorny skate), 779 nucleotides long. RefSeq lists it as uncharacterized. The transcript is spliced from 2 exons. Lineage: Eukaryota; Metazoa; Chordata; Chondrichthyes; Rajiformes; Rajidae. The record is from RefSeq and is a predicted model, not a curated record.
ACGUACAGUCUAGUCUCAAAGAUACUAGAGGAGCGAGAUAGACCACUGGGGCAAAAUAGCUGUAGUUGGUCAUGGGUCAUGGGUCAUGGGUCAUUUUUUCGCUCCAUUUUGGGAAUCAAAUAUAUGAGGGUUUUUUGUUGUUGUAAAUCGGCUUCUGUCAUGGCGUCCACAUCUACAAGCGUAGCGUGCUGUUCUGCUAUAUAGUUCUCGAAUCGCCAAUGUAAGCGACCCGACCUGUCUUUCUUCAGGUUCCCCACUAAGGUCGAACGAUGUCGACAGUGGGUCCAUAAUACAAGAUCUCAUACACCGAACUAUGGAGUACUUGUCAAAGAACUGCCGUCUUUGUUCUGAACACUUCGAACUUGACCAGUUUUCCAACAAGCAGACCAAGAACAGGCUAAAUUGGAAUGCAGAUCCAAUGCUCUUUGACAUCCCUAACCCACCGAAAUGUCUGUCUUUCCAAUGCAGGAUACUCCAUAGGAAGAAUGAGAACCUCCCAUCUGCACCAAAGCUUUCAAAGCAGCAAAUUGUGAUUUGUUAGCCUCACAAAAUAAUGCAAAUGACGAUUUGUUUAUUAUUGUAUAUAUAUAUUGGACAUAUUGUCCUUUGGGGUAAGCAGGGGUGGGGGUAUCAUUGUUUGAAAUACGUUGAAUUUUACAUCACUUUCAUUGGUUAACGCAUAUGCGAAACACUACAACCCUGUAUAUCUCACACAUAAAACGAUGUAAAUUAUGUAAAUCUUACCAUGAAUGACAGAAAUAAAACAUGUUAUCCUUGUA